CAGUCGAGCGGACAGAUGGGAGCUUGCUCCCUGAUGUUAGCGGCGGACGGGUGAGUAACACGUGGGUAACCUGCCUGUAAGACUGGGAUAACUCCGGGAAACCGGGGCUAAUACCGGAUGGUUGUCUGAACCGCAUGGUUCAGACAUAAAAGGUGGCUUCGGCUACCACUUACAGAUGGACCCGCGGCGCAUUAGCUAGUUGGUGAGGUAACGGCUCACCAAGGCGACGAUGCGUAGCCGACCUGAGAGGGUGAUCGGCCACACUGGGACUGAGACACGGCCCAGACUCCUACGGGAGGCAGCAGUAGGGAAUCUUCCGCAAUGGACGAAAGUCUGACGGAGCAACGCCGCGUGAGUGAUGAAGGUUUUCGGAUCGUAAAGCUCUGUUGUUAGGGAAGAACAAGUGCCGUUCAAAUAGGGCGGCACCUUGACGGUACCUAACCAGAAAGCCACGGCUAACUACGUGCCAGCAGCCGCGGUAAUACGUAGGUGGCAAGCGUUGUCCGGAAUUAUUGGGCGUAAAGGGCUCGCAGGCGGUUUCUUAAGUCUGAUGUGAAAGCCCCCGGCUCAACCGGGGAGGGUCAUUGGAAACUGGGGAACUUGAGUGCAGAAGAGGAGAGUGGAAUUCCACGUGUAGCGGUGAAAUGCGUAGAGAUGUGGAGGAACACCAGUGGCGAAGGCGACUCUCUGGUCUGUAACUGACGCUGAGGAGCGAAAGCGUGGGGAGCGAACAGGAUUAGAUACGCUGGUAGUCCACGCCGUAAACGAUGAGUGCUAAGUGUUAGGGGGUUUCCGCCCCUUAGUGCUGCAGCUAACGCAUUAAGCACUCCGCCUGGGGAGUAC
RNAcentral lists this ribosomal RNA (843 nucleotides) under Bacillus sp. R14B. RNAcentral describes it as "bacterial SSU rRNA". It matches the Rfam family "Bacterial small subunit ribosomal RNA", at positions 59 to 883 of the family's 1533-position model. The record is from RNAcentral. Lineage: Bacteria; Bacillati; Bacillota; Bacilli; Caryophanales; Bacillaceae.